CGGAGAACGGUAGACAAACUCAUGUUGUUAAACAAAAUACAUUUGCAAGGGAUUGAAGUAUUCAGGACAUUAGACUAGUUACGACCAACUUUAAACCUACAAGGAAUUAACUCAAGAAGAGUCCAUUUAUCAUCAACAGAUGGCUUUCCCGAGGAGCACCUCCAUUCAUAAACACAUUAAUUUAAGGAGAUGAAGAUUAAUUGAAUUGGAGCACAUUGGACGACAACAGAAGAUACAGUUAAGGUAAAAAGCUUCUUCCAUCCUAUGCUUUAAAUUAAUUAUAUUAUGUGCAGACGAAUGUACAGUAAAUAUAACUGAAGCACAGAACCAUUCAAGGGUCAGUUUUCUGUAAUUGAGAUUUAUACAUGACUUAUACAUUUGAAUGAACGAACUUUCCACUUAUUAGAGACACUUUUUGGAAUCUGAGAGAACAAAA
Molecule: non-coding RNA, 436 nt
Organism: Danio rerio (zebrafish)
Lineage: Eukaryota; Metazoa; Chordata; Actinopteri; Cypriniformes; Danionidae
Source: RefSeq, a predicted model, not a curated record